Molecule: ribosomal RNA, 1017 nt
Filed under: uncultured organism
Description: bacterial SSU rRNA
Rfam family: Bacterial small subunit ribosomal RNA
Source: RNAcentral
UGAGGAAUAUUGGUCAAUGGACGAGAGUCUGAACCAGCCAAGUAGCGUGAAGGAUGACUGCCCUAUGGGUUGUAAACUUCUUUUAUACGGGAAUAAAGUGAGGCACGUGUGCCUUUUUGUAUGUACCGUAUGAAUAAGGAUCGGCUAACUCCGUGCCAGCAGCCGCGGUAAUACGGAGGAUCCGAGCGUUAUCCGGAUUUAUUGGGUUUAAAGGGAGCGUAGGCGGACGCUUAAGUCAGUUGUGAAAGUUUGCGGCUCAACCGUAAAAUUGCAGUUGAUACUGGGUGUCUUGAGUACAGUAGAGGCAGGCGGAAUUCGUGGUGUAGCGGUGAAAUGCUUAGAUAUCACGAAGAACUCCGAUUGCGAAGGCAGCUUGCUGGACUGUAACUGACGCUGAUGCUCGAAAGUGUGGGUAUCAAACAGGAUUAGAUACCCUGGUAGUCCACACAGUAAACGAUGAAUACUCGCUGUUUGCGAUAUACAGUAAGCGGCCAAGCGAAAGCGUUAAGUAUUCCACCUGGGGAGUACGCCGGCAACGGUGAAACUCAAAGGAAUUGACGGGGGCCCGCACAAGCGGAGGAACAUGUGGUUUAAUUCGAUGAUACGCGAGGAACCUUACCCGGGCUUGAAUUGCAACUGAAUGAUGUGGAGACAUGUCAGCCGCAAGGCAGUUGUGAAGGUGCUGCAUGGUUGUCGUCAGCUCGUGCCGUGAGGUGUCGGCUUAAGUGCCAUAACGAGCGCAACCCUUAUCGAUAGUUACCAUCAGGUUAUGCUGGGGACUCUGUCGGGACUGCCGUCGUAAGAUGUGAGGAAGGUGGGGAUGACGUCAAAUCAGCACGGCCCUUACGUCCGGGGCUACACACGUGUUACAAUGGGGGGUACAGAAGGCAGCUACACGGCGACGUGAUGCUAAUCCCGAAAGCCUCUCUCAGUUCGGAUUGGAGUCUGCAACCCGACUCCAUGAAGCUGGAUUCGCUAGUAAUCGCGCAUCAGCCACGGCGCGGUGAAUACGUUCCC